This 465-nucleotide ribosomal RNA is filed under the name uncultured bacterium. Its description in RNAcentral is "bacterial SSU rRNA". It matches the Rfam family "Bacterial small subunit ribosomal RNA", at positions 26 to 518 of the family's 1533-position model. The record is from RNAcentral.
UACAGAACGAACGCUGGCGGCAGGCUUAACACAUGCAAGUGAACGGGAUUGAUGGUAGCUUGCUAUCAUUAAUGAGAGUAGCGCACUGGUGAGUAACACGUGGGAACAUACCUUUUGGUGGGGGACAACAGAUGGAAACGUCUGCUAAUACCGCAUAAGCCCUGAGGGGGAAAGAUUUAUUGCCGAAAGAUUGGCCCGCGGAAGAUUAGGUAGUAGGUGGGGUAACGGCCUACCUAGCCGACGAUCUAUAGCUGGUCUGAGAGGACGAUCAGCCACAUUGGAACUGAGACACGGUCCAGACUCCUACGGGAGGCAGCAGUGAGGAAUAUUGGGCAAUGGAGGGAACUCUGACCCAGCCAUGCCGCGUGAGUGAAGAAGGUUUUCGGAUUGUAAAGCUCUUUCAGAUGAGAAGAUAAUGACGGUAUCAUCAGAAGAAGCACCGGCUAACUUCGUGCCAGCCGCCGC